RNAcentral lists this ribosomal RNA (484 nucleotides) under uncultured bacterium. RNAcentral's name for it is "partial 16S ribosomal RNA". It matches the Rfam family "Bacterial small subunit ribosomal RNA", at positions 28 to 523 of the family's 1533-position model. The record is from RNAcentral.
GAUGAACGCUGGCGGCGUGCUUAACACAUGCAAGUCGAACGGUGAAGCAGGAGCUUGCUCUUGUGGAUCAGUGGCGAACGGGUGAGUAACACGUGAGCAACCUGCCCCUGACUCUGGGAUAAGCGCUGGAAACGGCGUCUAAUACUGGAUAUGUGAUGUGACCGCAUGGUCUGCAUCUGGAAAGAAUUUCGGUUGGGGAUGGGCUCGCGGCCUAUCAGCUUGUUGGUGAGGUAAUGGCUCACCCAGGCGUCGACGGGUAGCCGGCCUGAGAGGUUGAACGGCCCCACUGGGACUGGGACACGGCCCGGACUCCAACGGGAGGCAGCAGUGGGGAAUAUUGGACAAUGGGCGGAAGGCUGAUGCAGCAACGCCGCGUGAGGGAUGACGGCCUUCGGGUUGUAAACCUCUUUUAGCAGGGAAGAAGCGAAAGUGACGGUACCUGCAGAAAAAGCACCGGCUAACUACGUGCCAGCCGCCGCGGUAA